This 428-nucleotide ribosomal RNA is filed under the name uncultured bacterium. RNAcentral's name for it is "bacterial SSU rRNA". It matches the Rfam family "Bacterial small subunit ribosomal RNA", at positions 355 to 775 of the family's 1533-position model. The record is from RNAcentral.
UGGGGAAUAUUGGACAAUGGGGGCAACCCUGAUCCAGCAAUGCCGCGUGUGUGAAGAAGGCCUGCGGGUUGUAAAGCACUUUCAGUGGGGAGGAAGGCCUUGGUGUUAAUAGCACCGAGGAUUGACGUUACCCAAAGAAGAAGCACCGGCUAACUCUGUGCCAGCAGCCGCGGUAAUACAGAGGGUGCAAGCGUUAAUCGGAAUUACUGGGCGUAAAGGGUGCGUAGGUGGUUUAUUAAGUUAUAUGUGAAAACCCUGGGCUUAACCUAGGAAUUGCAUAUAAAACUAAUAAGCUAGAGUGCAGUAGAGGGAAGUGGAAUUUCCAGUGUAGCGGUGAAAUGCGUAGAUAUUGGAAGGAACAUCAGUGGCGAAGGCGACUUCCUGGACUGUUACUGACACUGAGGCACGAAAGCGUGGGGAGCGAACAG